GUAAAAACAGUCACUGCUUUCAUGUGCAUUUGUGCGCUGACGUCACCGUCGGAAAUACGUUAGGGAAAAGGGCAAAAUUGCCCCCAGGAUAUAAAGCUUUGCCCCAGAUAUUACUAGAAGAGAGGCAAAUCCAGUCUCUGUCGCCAUCUCAGGUUAAACAGACCAUCGAUAGAUGGAAGAUAGAUUGGGUCGGGGUGGAGGAAGACCACAAGAGAAACACCCGCAUUUUUGCGAGGCUCCCGAGGAACUUGAACUUGCCGACAACGAAUUGCCAACGUUGUUCUUCACCACCACCGGCGAGUUCUUUUGCUGACUUCAUCAAGGGGGCGAAAACUUUAAGAAAGCAAUCAGCUCUACAACGGAGCCGACUGUGGAAGCCGUGAAUCGGAGGGCUUUCUGGUUGAGUGCAGCUUUCUGUGUUGUUGACGGCGCACAACAGCACACGGUGGAUUCUCUUUGUGAGAAUCUUUGGUGUGAAAAAGAAAGGUCUCGAGUAGAAAAUGGAUCUCAUCACAGUUCUUGGAACCUUUUGUUUAAAAGAGGGCUCCAGAGGGAAAUGACCAAGCCUUCCCGCAGUGUCAAGAAAUGGAAAACUAAGCAGGAGAAUGCUUAAACUUCACUUCACAACUUUGCACCACCGGGUGUUAAGUCGAGGGAAAUGAUCGAGGACGAGCCAGUGUAGUAUGAACCGCACCAGCAUGUCUUGGAAUACAGGCUGACAGUGUUGUUCUUUCACGGUUUUAUCCUUUUACUACCCUCAGAGUGGACAUUUUUAAAUAGGUGGAUGCCCCUUUCAUGCCUGACUGAGGCUUUGAUAUUUUAAAAAUGAAUUACCUCCAGCGGCACACAAACCUUCUCGUCUCUUUUUCUCUCUGCCUCUGUCAUGAUGCUCAUAUUACAUGUUCCUCCUUUUGUAUCUUUUUUCCCCAGUGCUGCCUACAUUUCAUUAAAGAACCAAAUUCAUGCUAAGCCUUUAUAUUUAGUUAAAUGACAAUCCUGACUUGACAUCGGAGCAGAUUCAAUCAAAUUAGAGCCAAACCUUCCUCGCAUGUAAUGGUAAUUACAAAUUAAAGCUGUAAAG
This is a long non-coding RNA of Gasterosteus aculeatus aculeatus (three-spined stickleback), 1081 nucleotides long. The record is from Ensembl. Lineage: Eukaryota; Metazoa; Chordata; Actinopteri; Perciformes; Gasterosteidae.